This 253-nucleotide ribosomal RNA is filed under the name uncultured bacterium. RNAcentral describes it as "partial 16S ribosomal RNA". It matches the Rfam family "Bacterial small subunit ribosomal RNA", at positions 524 to 776 of the family's 1533-position model. The record is from RNAcentral.
GACGUAGGGCGCGAGCGUUGUCCGGAUUUAUUGGGCGUAAAGAGCUCGUAGGCGGUUUGUCGCGUCUGCUGUGAAAACUCGAGGCUCAACCUCGGGCUUGCAGUGGGUACGGGCAGACUAGAGUGCGGUAGGGGUGACUGGAAUUCCUGGUGUAGCGGUGGAAUGCGCAGAUAUCAGGAGGAACACCGAUGGCGAAGGCAGGUCACUGGGCCGCAACUGACGCUGAGGAGCGAAAGCAUGGGGAGCGAACAGG